GUCUACGGCCAUACCUCCCUGACCGUGCCCGAUCUCGUCUGAUCUCGGAAGCUAAGCAGGGUCGGGCCUGGUUUUACUUGGAUGGGAGAUUUGGCGUUAGGUACAUUAACUGUAAACA
RNAcentral lists this ribosomal RNA (118 nucleotides) under Ochotona princeps (American pika). Lineage: Eukaryota; Metazoa; Chordata; Mammalia; Lagomorpha; Ochotonidae. The record is from RNAcentral.